UUAUCGUUUAUUUGAUAGUACCUUACUACAUGGAUAACCGUGGUAAUUCUAGAGCUAAUACAUGCUAAAAACCCCAACUUCGGAAGGGGUGUAUUUAUUAGAUAAAAAACCAAUGCCCUUCGGGGCUCCUUGGUGAAUCAUAAUAACUUCACGAAUCGCAUGGCCUUGCGCCGGCGAUGGUUCAUUCAAAUUUCUGCCCUAUCAACUUUCGAUGGUAGGAUAGAGGCCUACCAUGGUUUCAACGGGUAACGGGGAAUUAGGGUUCGACUCCGGAGAGGGAGCCUGAGAAACGGCUACCACAUCCAAGGAAGGCAGCAGGCGCGCAAAUUACCCAAUCCCGACACGGGGAGGUAGUGACAAUAAAUACUGAUACAGGGCUCUUUUGGGUCUUGUAAUUGGAAUGAGUACAAUUUAAAUCCCUUAACGAGGAACAAUUGGAGGGCAAGUCUGGUGCCAGCAGCCGCGGUAAUUCCAGCUCCAAUAGCGUAUAUUAAAGUUGUUGCAGUUAAAAAGCUCGUAGUUGAACCUUGGGCCUGGCUGGCCGGUCCGCCUCACCGCGUGUACUGGUCCGGCCGGGCCUUUCCUUCUGGGGAGCCGCAUGCCCUUCACUGGGCGUGUCGGGGAACCAGGACUUUUACUUUGAAAAAAUUAGAGUGUUCAAAGCAGGCCUUUGCUCGAAUACAUUAGCAUGGAAUAAUAGAAUAGGACGUGUGGUUCUAUUUUGUUGGUUUCUAGGACCGCCGUAAUGAUUAAUAGGGAUAGUCGGGGGCAUCCGUAUUCAAUUGUCAGAGGUGAAAUUCUUGGAUUUAUUGAAGACGAACUACUGCGAAAGCAUUUGCCAAGGAUGUUUUCAUUAAUCAGUGAACGAAAGUUAGGGGAUCGAAGACGAUCAGAUACCGUCGUAGUCUUAACCAUAAACUAUGCCGACUAGGGAUCGGUGGAUGUUAUCUUUUUGACUCCAUCGGCACCUUACGAGAAAUCAAAGUUUUUGGGUUCUGGGGGGAGUAUGGUCGCAAGGCUGAAACUUAAAGAAAUUGACGGAAGGGCACCACCAGGCGUUAAAAAUCUGCAGUUCACUCUGCGCCAGAAAGGGGCCCGCGAGGGUAGGUGGUAGCCGUCUUGAACCCUAGUCGGCGUCGAUCCUUCGAUGCUCGGCGAGACCGUCAAAUUGCGGGGAACGCGCGAAGCAGGCGGAUACUAAGCAGCGGCCGUGAGGCGCGCUGUGGCCGGACCUAAUCACUCCGGGUAUAGUAAAAAGUCCGCCUGUAUGUGCCAAUCCGCAGCCAAGCCUCUCUUCGGAGUGGAAGGUCCAGAGACUAAACGGCGGUCGGUCCCUGUUAGGAUCGAACGAUUAUACAAUGUAUAAUAUCUUGUAUAAUACCGUUCUACUUACCGGGGGCUUAAGAUAUAGUCCGGCCCCGCCCGAAAGGGAGGGGGAUUCAGGAUGUAGCUGCUAGCAUUAGCAGUUUCGAAACCGGGAGCCUGCGGCUUAAUUUGACUCAACACGGGGAAACUCACCAGGUCCAGACACAAGUAGGAUUGACAGAUUGAGAGCUCUUUCUUGAUUUUGUGGGUGGUGGUGCAUGGCCGUUCUUAGUUGGUGGAGUGAUUUGUCUGCUUAAUUGCGAUAACGAACGAGACCUUAACCUGCUAAAUAGCCAGGCCCGCUUUGGCGGGUCGCCGGCUUCUUAGAGGGACUAUCGGCUCAAGCCGAUGGAAGUUUGAGGCAAUAACAGGUCUGUGAUGCCCUUAGAUGUUCUGGGCCGCACGCGCGCUACACUGACAGAGCCAACGAGUUCAUCACCUUGGCCGGAAGGUCUGGGUAAUCUUGUUAAACUCUGUCGUGCUGGGGAUAGAGCAUUGCAAUUAUUGCUCUUCAACGAGGAAUGCCUAGUAAGCGCAUGUCAUCAGCAUGCGUUGAUUACGUCCCUGCCCUUUGUACACACCGCCCGUCGCUACUACCGAUUGAAUGGCUCAGUGAGGCCUUCGGACUGGCCCAGGGAGGUCGGCAACGACCACCCAGGGCCGGAAAGUUGGUCAAACUCGGUCAUUUAGAGGAAGUAAAAGUCGUAACAAGGUCUCCGUAGGUGAACCUGCGGAGGGAUCAUUACUGAGUGAGGGCCUUCGGGCUCGACCUCCAACCCUUUGUGAACACAACUUGUUGCUUCGGGGGCGACCCUGCCGUUUCGACGGCGAGCGCCCCCGGAGGCCUUCAAACACUGCAUCUUUGCGUCGGAGUUUAAGUAAAUUAAACAAAACUUUCAACAACGGAUCUCUUGGUUCUGGCAUCGAUGAAGAACGCAGCGAAAUGCGAUAAGUAAUGUGAAUUGCAGAAUUCAGUGAAUCAUCGAAUCUUUGAACGCACAUUGCGCCCCUUGGUAUUCCGAGGGGCAUGCCUGUUCGAGCGUCAUUUCACCACUCAAGCCUGGCUUGGUAUUGGGCGCCGCGGUCAAUCCGCGCGCCUCAAAGUCUCCGGCUGAGCUGUCCGUCUCUAAGCGUUGUGAUUUCAUUAAUCGCUUCGGAGUGCGGGCGGCCGCGGCCGUUAAAUCUUUCAAAGGUUGACCUCGGAUCAGGUAGGGAUACCCGCUGAACUUAAGCAUAUCAAUAAGCGGAGGAAAAGAAACCAACAGGGAUUGCCCUAGUAACGGCGAGUGAAGCGGCAACAGCUCAAAUUUGAAAUCUGGCGCAAGCCCGAGUUGUAAUUUGUAGAGGAUGCUUCUGGGUAGCGACCGAUCUAAGUUCCUUGGAACAGGACGUCAUAGAGGGUGAGAAUCCCGUAUGUGACCGGCCCGCACCCUUUACGUAGCUCCUUCGACGAGUCGAGUUGUUUGGGAAUGCAGCUCUAAAUGGGAGGUAAAUUUCUUCUAAAGCUAAAUACCGGCCAGAGACCGAUAGCGCACAAGUAGAGUGAUCGAAAGAUGAAAAGUACUUUGGAAAGAGAGUUAAAAAGCACGUGAAAUUGUUGAAAGGGAAGCGCCUGCAACCAGACUUCGUGGCAGUGUUCCGCCGGUCUUCUGACCGGUUUAUUCUCUGUCGCGAGGCCAUCAUCGUCUAGGCCCGCCGGAUAAGACCUUAGGAAUGUAGCUCACCUUCGGGGGAGUGUUAUAGCUUAUGGUGAUGCGGCGAGGCUUGGGCGAGGUCCGCGCUUCGGCAAGGAUGAUGGCGUAAUGGUUGUCGGCGGCCCGUCUUGAAACACGGACCAAGGAGUCUAACAUCUAUGCGAGUGUUCGGGUGUCAAACCCCUACGCGUAAUGAAAGUGAACGGAGGUGGGAACCGCAAGGUGCACCAUCGACCGAUCCUGAUGUCCUCGGAUGGAUUUGAGUAAGAGCAUAGCUGUUGGGACCCGAAAGAUGGUGAACUAUGCCUGAAUAGGGUGAAGCCAGAGGAAACUCUGGUGGAGGCUCGCAGCGGUUCUGACGUGCAAAUCGAUCGUCAAAUUU
RNAcentral lists this ribosomal RNA (3441 nucleotides) under Mycosphaerella linorum. RNAcentral describes it as "SSU rRNA". The stretch from base 1 to 2110 matches the Rfam family "Eukaryotic small subunit ribosomal RNA". Lineage: Eukaryota; Fungi; Ascomycota; Dothideomycetes; Mycosphaerellales; Mycosphaerellaceae. The record is from RNAcentral.